CUGCAGCCCGAGUGGUGAUCGAUUUUAUUGAGCCUAAAGCGUCCGUAGCCGGACUAGUAAACCCUUGGGUAAAUUAGGCAGCUUAACUGUCCAAAUUCCGAGGGGACUGCUAGUCUUGGGACCGGGAGAGGUCAGAGGUACUCAAGGGGUAGGGGCUAAAUCCUGUAAUCCUUUGGGGACCACCAGUGGCGAAGGCGUCUGACUAGAACGGAUCCGACGGUAAGGGACGAAACCCUGGGGCGCGAACCGGAUUAGAUACCCGCGUAGUCC
This 270-nucleotide ribosomal RNA is filed under the name uncultured archaeon. Its description in RNAcentral is "partial 16S ribosomal RNA". It matches the Rfam family "Archaeal small subunit ribosomal RNA", at positions 477 to 747 of the family's 1478-position model. The record is from RNAcentral.